AACGAACGCUGGCGGCAGGCUUAACACAUGCAAGUCGAGCGCCCCGCAAGGGGAGCGGCAGACGGGUGAGUAACGCGUGGGAACAUACCCUUUGGUUCGGAAUAACUCAGGGAAACUUGAGCUAAUACCGGAUACGUCCGUAAGGNGAAAGAUUUAUCGCCAAAGGAUUGGCCCGCGUCCGAUUAGCUAGUUGGUGAGGUAACGGCUCACCAAGGCUACGAUCGGUAGCUGGUCUGAGAGGAUGAUCAGCCACAUUGGGACUGAGACACGGCCCAAACUCCUACGGGAGGCAGCAGUGGGGAAUAUUGGACAAUGGGCGCAAGCCUGAUCCAGCCAUGCCGCGUGAGUGAUGAAGGCCUUAGGGUUGUAAAGCUCUUUGUCCGGGAAGAUAAUGACUGUACCGGAAGAAUAAGACCCGGCUAACUUCGUGCCAGCAGCCGCGGAAU
This 446-nucleotide ribosomal RNA is filed under the name uncultured bacterium. RNAcentral describes it as "bacterial SSU rRNA". It matches the Rfam family "Bacterial small subunit ribosomal RNA", at positions 29 to 523 of the family's 1533-position model. The record is from RNAcentral.